CCUACGGGAGGCAGCAGUGGGGAAUUUUGGACAAUGGGCGCAAGCCUGAUCCAGCAAUGCCGCGUGCAGGAUGAAGGCCUUCGGGUUGUAAACUGCUUUUGUACGGAACGAAACGGUCUGCCCUAAUACGGUGGGCUAAUGACGGUACCGUAAGAAUAAGCACCGGCUAACUACGUGCCAGCAGCCGCGGUAAUACGUAGGGUGCGAGCGUUAAUCGGAAUUACUGGGCGUAAAGCGUGCGCAGGCGGUUAUAUAAGACAGAUGUGAAAUCCCCGGGCUCAACCUGGGACCUGCAUUUGUGACUGUAUAGCUAGAGUACGGUAGAGGGGGAUGGAAUUCCGCGUGUAGCAGUGAAAUGCGUAGAUAUGCGGAGGAACACCGAUGGCGAAGGCAAUCCCCUGGACCUGUACUGACGCUCAUGCACGAAAGCGUGGGGAGCAAACAGGAUUAGAUACCCUGGUAGUCCACGCCCUAAACGAUGUCAACUGGUUGUUGGUCUUCACUGACUCAGUAACGAAGCUAACGCGUAGAAGUUGACCGCGNGGAGGACGGCGCGAGUAGAAGUAAGUAGUAGUAGAGNGNGAGAGUAGACGACGGACGACGACGAGGGGAGGAGG
Molecule: ribosomal RNA, 617 nt
Filed under: uncultured bacterium
Lineage: Bacteria
Description: bacterial SSU rRNA
Rfam family: Bacterial small subunit ribosomal RNA (bases 1-542)
Source: RNAcentral